CACCCUGUACCCAUAGAUCUCAGGGUGGUUCACAGAGAAAGGCAGAACCACAAACAGGGUUGGGGGCACCAAUUACUGUUUGAUAUUGACUUAGUGUAAGCAUUUAGAGGAACAGCUGGAUCUGUUUUAUGCAGCUGCAUAGAUUUAAAUGUUUGGCGUUCCCCUAUCCUGGUGUGUCAAUAUCAUUGCUUUCAAACUCUGAAAGUUCAGCAACACCCAAAACACUCAUGUUAAUUGAGUGGCUUUCUGUACAUUCAUGUUGGAUAUCCUACUCUACAAAUCACUUUUCCUUGGCUCAGUGUCUAGACCCUGGGAUGUUCACUUAUGUCAUCAUGUAUACAAGGGAGAUUGAGGAGGCCAGACCAUGCCAAAUGCACAACACACAUUGCAGUUAGGUACACAGAAGUCAUUGCCUCAGCAACGCUUGCAGCCAAGUGCUUUUUUAAAACAUUACUAACCACCACGUUUGCAUCUUAACUUUCAAGCGUGGUUCUCACACGUUCUAACCCAUGGGUAGGCAAACUAAGGCCCAGAGGCCAGAUCCGGCCCAAUCGCCUUCUAAAUCCAGCCCACAGACGGUCCGGGAAUCAGCGUGUUUUUACAUGAGUAGAAUGUGUCCUUUUAUUUAAAAUGCAUCUCUGGGUUAUUUGUGGGGCAUAGGAAUUAAUUUUUUCCCCUUCCAAAAUAUAGUCCGGCCCCUCACAAGGUCUGAGGGACAGUGGAUCGGCCCCCUGCUGAAAAGUUUGCUGACCCCUGUUCUAACUUCUUCCCUGCCUAACACUCCCUGUCCCCAGAACUGUUACUAGGUGUAGGGAAAACAGCUGCAGCAUCACUGGUUCUCAGGGGAGGAUAAUAAAAUGGAAAUGUUAAGCUACUCUUCCACGUGUUUUACAAAGAUGUGCUCAAGCCACUUCAGAAAACUUUCAGUAAUCCUUGCUGCCACCGUUCUUUUUUGUGUGUGUGGGGGGGGGGUAAUUUCUUGACUGAAUAAGAGCUUUCUACAAUGAGACCAGCAUUCGCUUACUUUUACGAGCACACACUGUCAAAGUAUACCCUAUUACCAAGAAAAUAUUAGUGACUAACAGUGAAUUUACAAGACACAUAAUUGUCCACAAUUACGGUUUCCUU
Non-coding RNA from Podarcis lilfordi (Lilford's wall lizard), 1128 nucleotides. The record is from the annotation of a GenBank genome assembly. NCBI's taxonomy places the organism in Eukaryota, Metazoa, Chordata, Lepidosauria, Squamata, Lacertidae.